Long non-coding RNA from Rosa rugosa (rugosa rose), 2011 nucleotides. RefSeq lists it as uncharacterized. The record is from RefSeq and is a predicted model, not a curated record. The transcript has 5 exons. NCBI's taxonomy places the organism in Eukaryota, Viridiplantae, Streptophyta, Magnoliopsida, Rosales, Rosaceae.
AAGUUUCAGACGAAAAGCGAAUGAAAGAAAAGUCCCGAGCCCAAAACCCGAAAGAAAUUAGCUAGGAGAGUUUCGUAAUUCGUCGCAAGGGCAAAAUUGGUAUUUCACGUACACAAGUAUAAAUAGAAAACUUGGAAACCCUAAAAAAACCAAAACUCUCAUUUCUCUCCCUCACUCUCGGCCGCGUUCUCUCUCUCCCCGACUUCUCCUUCUCGCACACUCUCCCUUCUUCCCUCUGCAACCACCGGAAAACACCGGUUCCGGCCACCACCUCCUGGCAUCGCCUCCACCCUUCGAACCAGCAUCCAAAUCCGACCCAAGCCCGAGCCUCAUCACCCACCUGCACUGCCUCCGGCCCCCAAACCGCGACACCACUGCUUUCCUUAAUCCUCCGAUUUCCAGUCGCCGAUUCACGCCACCAAUGCCAGAAAUUGAAGCACCAAGCCCUAGAGAGCAAAACCCGAACCAUAGCCUCAAACUCCGACCACCGGAAAAUGCCAUGCAAGCUCGCCGGAACUCGAGGUUCUGCAUGUCUCCAUUCUCCGAUCUCCAGCUCGAAUCGAGCUUCAACACUUCCAUAAACGGAGUCAGAGCUACACUAUCCUUCGAAACCCCUAACCCAGACCUUUGACUCCAACCAGAGCCGCCGCACACCGCCGUAGCUCCGCCGUGUACAUCGCCGAUAUAUCCAAUCUUUCUGGUAAGCCAACCCGAGGCCCCCUUUCCUUGUCCCAUUGAGUUUCUAAUUUCGAAAUAAUGGGUCUCUGAUGCUUUGUUCUUCGAUUGGGGAUAUUUGAACAUUGGGUACGGAGGAGACGGAGAAGUACAGAUUAGAAGGAAAGGCUACUGGUCUUGAGUUCGAAUGUGUUCUUAAAGGAAUGAUGAAGAGAUGAUGGCGACUGCAAGAUGCAGCACGUAGUGAAGGAUGUGGUCUCGGUAGAAUGGGUAAGGAACACAGGCUUUCGAAUUUUGAAUUUGACUGUUGUUGGGACAUUGAGGUUAAUUAAUUAAGGAUGUUGUUUUAUGGAGGAAAUGAGGUCUGCGGAACUGCAAGCUUUCGGAGAAGGGAAGUGCUGGGUCAGUUCCAUUUGUAUUGAGGAAUUGGGAAUCUGAAUGGAUUGAUGGUGGUGGAAAAAGCAUCUGGCUUGAAUCGAAUCCAUGUUUGGAAAAGAAGAAAUGGACCCGAGCGUGUGCAUUUGGAAGUGGACAAAGUGUUGAAAGUCGAGAACGAACCCGAAUGUGGGCAAGCACUCCAAUUCCAGUGUGCAGGUUUCGAGCAUGUGGUCGGGAAGCGUACAGGGGAGGCACAUGGCACGGCUUGGCGCAUUUCUCUUUAGUUUUAUCAAAAGAAGGGAAUACUAACUAAGGUGACUUCGCUUGCUGCUCAAGAAUUCAGUCUCGUAUUGGGUUUGAAAGCUGAUCUAGUACAGCUGCGUGACUCGUUCCUCAAGAUUCAAGCUAUGCUAAGAGACUUAGACCAUUCACAAGUUCAGGGGGAGGUUGUGGAAAUGUGGGUGAAGGAUCUUGAAGACAUAGCUCACGAAACCGAUGAUGUGUUAGAUGAAAUUGGGUAUGAAUUUAUCCGACGCAAAGUAGAAAUGCAAUACCAGAUGAAGAAAAAGGUGAAAAGUUUCUUCUCCCACUCCAAUCCCAUUGCAUUUCGCUCAAAAAUGGCACAUAAAAUCAAGAAAAUCAACAUAUCUUUUGUGAAAUUAUUCAAUCAGGCAGUUGGCACUAUUGGGUUAGUUGCUAGGACAUUUGCUGAUGCAAGUCAUGCAAUCUCACAAGAUGUUGAAGUACUUGACAGGGAGACCUUCUCCAACUUUGAUAGCGAUGAGAAGCUCAUCAUUGGAAGGGAGGAGGUUGUGUCAGAUAUAGUCAAAACCAGGGGCGGAGCCACGUUGGGGCACGGUGGGUCCCAUGCCCCAGUGAGAUUUUUUUAAAAUAUAUACAAUCUGGUUUCAUAAUAUAACUAAGUGCUACCUUGUUGUGGUGGUUGAAUCACAUACAU